CUAAUCUCACUAACCUUAUCAAAUUUAUCACUAAUUAAUUCUAAAUCCACAUCAAUUUCUAAUCUAAAUGGACUCACGUAACCCGGUUCAUACAUCACAACUUUAUCCAAAAAACCAGGUCAAACAUCCUUAUGGACUCAGUUGUUUCCAUGCAUCUUCAUACGCCUUCGAUUCAAACUUCAGGAUUCCAUGAAUGAAGGUAUCAUGAGAAACCUUGACAUCACGCUUAUUUCAAAUCUGCGUCCAUCAUCGUCUUCGUCGCUCGUACUCGCAAUCCAAAUGUCUGCGCGUGAACAUCAUGAGUUAAGAUCCGGAAUCGGAGCUCCUUCACCGUUCAUCUAUGCCGACGUCCUUCAAUGAGCUUGCGUGCGUUUGUAGAGCAGAAUCAAAGUCGAGUCUGAGAUUGACUCGAGCUUUACGUGUCUAACCGAAGGGAAACAAGGUCAAAGAAACCGGAGAACUUACUGAAUUGCAAUGUAAACAAGUAUGGAUUAUCUGAUUUGCUUCUUCUUCUCCCAAUCUUCUUCUCCAUAACUUCUUCUACCUUUCUUAUCUACAACUGCGAUUUGGCUUUUCUGCAUGCGUAUCUGUGAGGAGAAUGAUGUAAAAGAGUGAAAUUGGAGAAUCGAUUUGCGAGUUCUGGAGUGUUCAAAGUUGAAAGCGGAAUGAAGAAUGUGAUGAAGAUUAUAUAAGGAAUCUUCGUGUAACAGAAUAGGUCAGCUUGGCCAGGAUUGUUAAUCUAGUUAGGGCACUGUUAAGCUCCAAUUGGAUUUACAGGGUAGAAAGUCAGUGUUAUGAACUUGCAGCUACUGAUAUGCUUAUUUUGUUUUGGCUUGAAUGCAAAUGUUGAUGCAGGGUGUUAAUGGAUGGUUAACCGAGUUGUUGGAACCAUUUUCACAUGGGUUGCAAUGCCCAUUGGGGACUGCUAUGUGCAGCUAAACUUGUUUAGGUUGAUAUGAUUUUGGACAUGAAGGCUAAUGAAAGCUAAAUGUCAGCAGGCUGCUUGUAGAAUUCAUUUAAUUAUGUGCAAAAAAGAAAUGUUAUUGUUAGUUUGAGGACUUAAUUGACAUUAGUGGUGAAAGUUAAUAAUAACUAGUAUAAAUGGAUUAUGAUUGUUAAUUGUGAAUCAAAAUGUAUUGAAUAUGAAUGGAAUAUUCAUUGAUUUGGAAAGUUA
Molecule: long non-coding RNA, 1174 nt
Organism: Lathyrus oleraceus (garden pea)
Lineage: Eukaryota; Viridiplantae; Streptophyta; Magnoliopsida; Fabales; Fabaceae
Exons: 2
Source: RefSeq, a predicted model, not a curated record